CCUACGGGUGGCAGCAGUGAGGAAUAUUGGUCAAUGGGCGCGAGCCUGAACCAGCCAAGUAGCGUGAAGGAUGACUGCCCUACGGGUUGUAAACUUCUUUUAUAAAGGAAUAAAGUGAGGCACUUGUGCCGUUUUGAGUGUACUUUAUGAAUAAGGAUCGGCUAACUCCGGGCCAGCAGCCGCGGUAAUACGGAGGAUCCGAGCGUUGUCCGGAUUGAUUGGGGUUAAAGGGAGCGUAGAUGGGUUGUAAAGUCAGUUGUGAAAGUUUGCGGCUCAACCGUAAAAUUGCAAUUGAUACUGGCAGCCUUGAGUACAGUUGAGGUAGGCGGAAUUCGUGGUGUAGCGGUGAAAUGCUUAGAUAUUACGAAGAACUCCGAUUGCGAAGGCAGCCUACUAAACUGCCACUGACAUUGAUGCUCGAAAGUGUGGGUAUCAAACAGGAUUAGAUACCCCUGUAGUC
RNAcentral lists this ribosomal RNA (460 nucleotides) under uncultured bacterium. RNAcentral's name for it is "partial 16S ribosomal RNA". It matches the Rfam family "Bacterial small subunit ribosomal RNA", at positions 338 to 795 of the family's 1533-position model. The record is from RNAcentral.